Molecule: long non-coding RNA, 319 nt
Filed under: Equus asinus (donkey)
Lineage: Eukaryota; Metazoa; Chordata; Mammalia; Perissodactyla; Equidae
Description: lncRNA (ENSEASG00005026195.1)
Source: RNAcentral
GGACACCUGGCACAGCAUGGCUUGACAAGUGAAUACAGAAUGAUUUUCUAAAAGCAAUGUCAUGAGAAGAAGCAAUAAAAAAUUAUGCAGCCAGAAAAGACUCUUUAGAGUUAAAAACAUUAUCAAAGGUGGAAGUAGCCUUAUGGAUAAAGAAACAGAGAAGUUGUGGUCUGCCAAGAUUCUACGGUUUGUGAAUGGCACAGCUCGGACAGGACACCGGAUCUUCUGAUAACUGCCAUAUCGGUGACUUUUUUUCACUAGGAGGUAGUAAUGAGCUGUGGGAGAGGGGGAGAACACGGAACUGUAAAUGCUAAGCAGG